RNAcentral lists this ribosomal RNA (706 nucleotides) under Bacillus subtilis. Its description in RNAcentral is "bacterial SSU rRNA". It matches the Rfam family "Bacterial small subunit ribosomal RNA", at positions 645 to 1351 of the family's 1533-position model. The record is from RNAcentral. Lineage: Bacteria; Bacillati; Bacillota; Bacilli; Caryophanales; Bacillaceae.
AGUGCAGAAGAGGAGAGUGGAAUUCCACGUGUAGCGGUGAAAUGCGUAGAGAUGUGGAGGAACACCAGUGGCGAAGGCGACUCUCUGGUCUGUAACUGACGCUGAGGAGCGAAAGCGUGGGGAGCGAACAGGAUUAGAUACCCUGGUAGUCCACGCCGUAAACGAUGAGUGCUAAGUGUUAGGGGGUUUCCGCCCCUUAGUGCUGCAGCUAACGCAUUAAGCACUCCGCCUGGGGAGUACGGUCGCAAGACUGAAACUCAAAGGAAUUGACGGGGGCCCGCACAAGCGGUGGAGCAUGUGGUUUAAUUCGAAGCAACGCGAAGAACCUUACCAGGUCUUGACAUCCUCUGACAAUCCUAGAGAUAGGACGUCCCCUUCGGGGGCAGAGUGACAGGUGGUGCAUGGUUGUCGUCAGCUCGUGUCGUGAGAUGUUGGGUUAAGUCCCGCAACGAGCGCAACCCUUGAUCUUAGUUGCCAGCAUUCAGUUGGGCACUCUAAGGUGACUGCCGGUGACAAACCGGAGGAAGGUGGGGAUGACGUCAAAUCAUCAUGCCCCUUAUGACCUGGGCUACACACGUGCUACAAUGGACAGAACAAAGGGCAGCGAAACCGCGAGGUUAAGCCAAUCCCACAAAUCUGUUCUCAGUUCGGAUCGCAGUCUGCAACUCGACUGCGUGAAGCUGGAAUCGCUAGUAAUCGCGGUUCA